Molecule: ribosomal RNA, 253 nt
Filed under: uncultured bacterium
Lineage: Bacteria
Description: partial 16S ribosomal RNA
Rfam family: Bacterial small subunit ribosomal RNA
Source: RNAcentral
UACAGAGGUCUCAAGCGUUGUUCGGAUUCAUUGGGCGUAAAGGGUGCGUAGGCGGCGCGGUAAGUCGGGUGUGAAAUCUCGGAGCUUAACUCCGAAACUGCAUUCGAUGCUGCCGUGCUUGAGGACUGGAGAGGAGACUGGAAUUUACGGUGUAGCAGUGAAAUGCGUAGAUAUCGUGAGGAAGACCAGUGGCGAAGGCGGGUCUCUGGACAGUUCCUGACACUGAGGCACGAAGGCCAGGGGAGCAAACGGG